GGUGGGGCAGAUGAUUGGGGUGAAGUCGUAACAAGGUAUCCCUACCGGAAGGUGGGGAUGGAUCACCUCCUUUCU
RNAcentral lists this ribosomal RNA (75 nucleotides) under Laceyella sacchari. RNAcentral's name for it is "partial 16S ribosomal RNA". It matches the Rfam family "Bacterial small subunit ribosomal RNA", at positions 1461 to 1533 of the family's 1533-position model. RNAcentral also lists the same sequence under 1 other name. The record is from RNAcentral. Lineage: Bacteria; Bacillati; Bacillota; Bacilli; Caryophanales; Thermoactinomycetaceae.